GAUGAACGCUGGCGGCGUGCUUAACACAUGCAAGUCGAACGGUGAAGGCGGAGCUUGCUCUGCUGGAUCAGUGGCGAACGGGUGAGUAACACGUGAGCAAUCUGCCCCUGACUCUGGGAUAAGCGCUGGAAACGGCGUCUAAUACUGGAUACGAGCUGCGAAGGCAUCUUCAGCAGCUGGAAAGAACUUCGGUCAGGGAUGAGCUCGCGGCCUAUCAGCUUGUUGGUGAGGUAACGGCACACCAAGGCGUCGACGGGUAGCCGGCCUGAGAGGGUGACCGGCCACACUGGGACUGAGACACGGCCCAGACGCCUACGGGAGGCAGCAGUGGGGAAUAUUGCACAAUGGGCGAAAGCCUGAUGCAGCAACGCCGCGUGAGGGACGACGGCCUUCGGGUUGUAAACCUCUUUUAGCAGGGAAGAAGCGAAAGUGACGGUACCUGCAGAAAAAGCGCCGGCUAACUACGUG
Molecule: ribosomal RNA, 468 nt
Filed under: uncultured bacterium
Lineage: Bacteria
Description: partial 16S ribosomal RNA
Rfam family: Bacterial small subunit ribosomal RNA
Source: RNAcentral